GACAGAGGUGCCGAGCGUUAGGCGGAAUCACUGGGCUUAAAGCGUGUGUAGGCGGACGGGUAAGUACCUUGUGAAAUCCCACGGCUCAACCGUGGAACUGCUGGGUAUACUGCCUGUCUUGAGUCAUCUAGGGGCGAGCGGAACAAAUGGUGGAGCGGCGAAAUGCGUAGAUAUCAUUUGGAACGCCAAUGGUGAAAACAGCUCGCUGGGGAUGUACUGACGCUGAGACACGAAAGCCAGGGGAGCAAACGGG
RNAcentral lists this ribosomal RNA (253 nucleotides) under uncultured bacterium. RNAcentral describes it as "partial 16S ribosomal RNA". It matches the Rfam family "Bacterial small subunit ribosomal RNA", at positions 524 to 776 of the family's 1533-position model. The record is from RNAcentral.